GAUGAAGAACGUAGCGAAAUGCGAAAAGUAGUGUGAAUUGCAGAAUUCAGUGAAUCAUCGAAUCUUUGAACGCACAUUGCGCCCGCCAGUAUUCUGGCGGGCAUGCCUGUUCGAGCGUCAUUUCAACCAUCAAGCCCCCGGCUUGUGUUGGGGACCUGCGGCUGCCGCAGGCCCUGAAAUGCAGUGGCGGGCUCGCUGUCACUCCGAGCGUAGUAGUUACAUCUCGCUCUGAGCGUGCUGCGGGUUCCGGCCGUUAAAAGCCUUAUUUACCCAAGGUUGACCUCGGAUCAGGUAGGAAGACCCGCUGAACUUAAGCAUAUCAAUAAGCGGAGGA
Molecule: unclassified non-coding RNA, 334 nt
Filed under: soil metagenome
Description: partial contains 5.8S ribosomal RNA, internal transcribed spacer 2, and large subunit ribosomal RNA
Rfam family: 5.8S ribosomal RNA (bases 1-120)
Source: RNAcentral